GACGAACGCUGGCGGCGUGCUUAACACAUGCAAGUCGAACGGAAAGGCACUGCUUUUGUGCGGUGCUCGAGUGGCGAACGGGUGAGUAACACGUGAGUAACCUGCCCUUGACUUUGGGAUAACUUCAGGAAACUGGGGCUAAUAUCGGAUAGGAGCUCCUGCUGCAUGGUGGGGGUUGGAAAGUUUUGGCGGUUGGGGAUGGACUCGCGGCUUAUCAGCUUGUUGGUGGGGUAGUGGCUUACCAAGGCUUUGACGGGUAGCCGGCCUGAGAGGGUGACCGGCCACACUGGGACUGAGAGACGGCCCAGACGCCUACGGGAGGCAGCAGUGGGGAAUAUUGCACAAUGGGCGGAAGCCUGAUGAAGCAACGCCGCGUGCGGGAUGACGGCCUUCGGGUUGUAAACCGCUUGCGCCUGUGACGAAGCGUGAGUGACGGUAAUGGGUAAAGAAGCACCGGCUAACUACGGG
RNAcentral lists this ribosomal RNA (468 nucleotides) under uncultured bacterium. RNAcentral's name for it is "partial 16S ribosomal RNA". It matches the Rfam family "Bacterial small subunit ribosomal RNA", at positions 28 to 507 of the family's 1533-position model. The record is from RNAcentral.